UAGUUGCUGGCCCUCUUAUUUAUCUUCCUUGGUGUUCCCUACUUUAUUGUUUUAACCCUAACCUUCCUGUUAAUCUGUAUCUGUUAUCUGUUUUCGCUGUACUAUUUGUUAUCAGAAUGCACUCUUCCCUGUCCCUUACAACUUGUGACUUGCGAGCUGCUCCUGCAGUCUAAGUAGCCCACAGAGAGGGGAGGGCACUGCUGCAGUUUCUAUUCACAUUCGUUCUUAGAAUCCCAUCUCUUUUGUUCUGUGUGAUGUAUAACACAUACAGUAUUGUUUCCUAGUUGAGUGUCCCAAACUCUCAGAGGUUUAACACAAUGGAAGUUGUGUCACACGGGGUCACAGUUGAGCCCCAGAGGUGUAAGGCAGUAGGCGUGACACACAACUGGAGUGGGCACGGACUGUCUGAUGCAAUAGGGAUCAUGCCAUGUUGAAGUCCAGGAAACAGCUGGAGUUCUUUGCUUGUGGGUCCCUGAUGCACAUAGUGGACACUUGGAUGACUGCUGAGUGGAGCUACGGUCCUAGCAGUAGCAGGACUCCGUCUUUAUGAGGCCCAGGAGAGAGUGUUACAGUGGUUCCCUGUGACUGAGAAGCCUUGAGCCUGUGUUUUAUAAUAUGGUUUGAUCUGUGCAGACACACACACGGCCCUGCCCUAGUUUGAUCAAAGUGCUCCCUUUGUACCUGUGGGGGUGCAUUUGCCCUCCUCAGUCUGUGCACGCGGGCCGUGCUGCACAGUGUCUGUGGAUGGAUUCGGACUACUUCCUUCUGUGUGUGCAUUAGACACGGAGCCGAAGGCUGCCCACUCACUGGAGUCACCCCGGGCAAGGCCCAGUCUGCAGCCAUUGCUCCACCCAGUGUGGGGGAACGCUGAGCGCACGUGAUCACCACGGCGGUACCCAGAGUUCUCAGCUUUUCUCUGGCUUUUGCCAUUCUCUCCCUUAAGCCUCAGGUCUCCUAAAACAUUUUGGCGCCGGACAAACCAGGGCAACCGAUCAGGACUGUACUGGCUUCAAAACUUGAAGUUCCACCUUCUAGAUAACAUCUCAAGUCCAGGCCAAGCAGGACACUUGCUCCCCCUACUGGCCCCCUAU
This 1091-nucleotide long non-coding RNA is filed under the name Mus musculus (house mouse). RNAcentral's name for it is "long non-coding RNA chr3:51672800-51673891". The record is from RNAcentral. Lineage: Eukaryota; Metazoa; Chordata; Mammalia; Rodentia; Muridae.